AACGAUCAGGUAAAGUGGACAGACUGGAGCUCGCAAGAGUUCUUGGAAGUCCAUUGAACCUCGCCGUUUAGAGGAAGGAGAAGUCGUAACAAGGUAUCGGUAGGUGAACCUGCCGAUGGAUCAUUAG
This 127-nucleotide ribosomal RNA is filed under the name Cavenderia aureostipes. RNAcentral's name for it is "partial 18S ribosomal RNA". It matches the Rfam family "Eukaryotic small subunit ribosomal RNA", at positions 1692 to 1831 of the family's 1831-position model. Lineage: Eukaryota; Evosea; Eumycetozoa; Acytosteliales; Cavenderiaceae. The record is from RNAcentral.